UAUGGUCAUUGUACUUAAUUACAUUUAUGCACUAGAGCAUUGGCCUGUUGGAAACUACAACUCCCUACUGCAUCACACAGCUCAGUCUGGUCUGAUUUAUCUCUGUCCAAUGUGAGGGAAAAAUCUAUGUUAACCUCUUUAAGUUUACGACUUCUAAUGUGUUGAAGGAUCUCUUUUAAGGUUGAGAAGUUUGUGUGGGUGUGCAACCACACACCCUCUGGGCAGACAGGCCAAAGGCGCUUGCUUGGCCCAAUUCAGGGAAUCUUUGAUCGACUUCAGAGGAACUGUGUCUAGGGUGAUUUCCUGUUGUUUUGACACCUCACUAGAUGACUAGAAUAACUAGCUGUUGCUACAGAACGAGACGACCAAUUCACAGUUCGUUUGUGUCUCGUUCUCCACACACGUACACGUUCAAAGAUCACUUGUUUUCUAUAUGCACAAGAUAGUUUGACGAUAUAAGGCUUCUGAACUCCUUGUGUCAUCGAGCUCUCGGCCUUCCACCUCAGAGUGUAGGGCUGACCAGCUACAUUAUUGCAAUUAUUAUCAAAUAAAGGUUGAUUGUUUGAAGAAAUGACAAAGUCUCUCCUGAUUGGUUAGAAUUUCCACCACAAUGUGCAGUAACAAUGUUAGACCAGACUCAUAAUAAAGAAUGAAAGACUGACUGCCCAGUUCAACGUUAGUUCACCGUCUCACCUCAUACAGUAUUGGAGCAGCAGCAGCUGACUUGAUCGUUGAUGCUAAUCAGCAUAUUUGAAUCUGAGAGUAAAUAGAGCCGACUACACUCUAAAAAUGAAGGGUUCAACUGGAGUUGUUCUCAGAUCCCCUAAGAACCGUAGGGUUCUUGUCAAUUAAAAACAACCCCAAAAGGUUCUUCAAAUUACUUGUUAGAAGGUGGGUUCAUCGAGGAACCUCCGUUGUUGCUGGACUUCUUCCGGAAACCUCGCAAUUACAACUGAAAACGCUGGUGGCAAGUUUGGAUGCGACAACAGUUAAAAAGGACAGAACAUGAACACAAUGCAAUUGGGAUCAAGAAGAUGUUCUCAGAAAUGAAUCAAGUCCAUGGAAUGGAUAUAGACAAAAAGAGGACUAGCAGAGGUAGAGAGGUGAGGCAGGGGUGAGGACAUCAUCCUGCUAUUUUGACAGUCCCUGAAGGACAAUACAGAAGAGGUACUUGCUCUUAUUCCUCUCCUUUUUCUAAUGUAUUUUGUAAUAAAAUUAGCAAGUGUAGUAAGAUCAUUGCUUUACUUUACUAGGACUGGAGACCACAGCAGCGAUUCUGCUCUUGCCCUACCUCUUCAAUGAGGACCCGAGUGGCCUUUAUGUCCUUGACAAUGUAUCAUCUGUUUCUUCAUAAACAUAGGUGUGCAUGCUUAUAUAAAACUACAGCUGAACAUUUG
This 1397-nucleotide long non-coding RNA is filed under the name Oncorhynchus kisutch (coho salmon). RNAcentral's name for it is "lncRNA (ENSOKIG00005044156.1)". Lineage: Eukaryota; Metazoa; Chordata; Actinopteri; Salmoniformes; Salmonidae. The record is from RNAcentral.